CUUUAUUUUUGGCCUUUUGGCUAAGAUCAAAUGUGGGAUCCGUUAUCAGCUUCAUAUCUGAUACGUCCUCUAUCCAAGGACAAUGCAUUAAAUGGAUUUUGGGAACUGGCAGACAGAAUAGGGGCUUGCUCCGCCCACUCCGUGCAUCGAUCUGGUGUUGGAACACCCCCAGGAACAGCGCACCCCGG
Small nuclear RNA from Suricata suricatta (meerkat), 188 nucleotides. Its record names the gene U2. It matches the Rfam family "U2 spliceosomal RNA". From Rfam's summary of the family: U2 is a small nuclear RNA (snRNA) component of the spliceosome (involved in pre-mRNA splicing). Complementary binding between U2 snRNA (in an area lying towards the 5' end but 3' to hairpin I) and the branchpoint sequence (BPS) of the intron results the bulging out of an unpaired adenosine, on the BPS, which initiates a nucleophilic attack at the intronic 5' splice site, thus starting the first of two transesterification reactions that mediate splicing. Lineage: Eukaryota; Metazoa; Chordata; Mammalia; Carnivora; Herpestidae. The record is from Ensembl.